Molecule: long non-coding RNA, 1784 nt
Organism: Phascolarctos cinereus (koala)
Lineage: Eukaryota; Metazoa; Chordata; Mammalia; Diprotodontia; Phascolarctidae
Source: RefSeq, a predicted model, not a curated record
AGUAGACAUUAACAGGUAUACAAUAUCUGAAAUGAGUGAAACAGUAUGUCUUAAUGACAAAGUGUAGGGUUUUUUUUACUCCCAUGUUACAAUAUUAAUCCACAUUGUUAGAACUCAACUAAAACUCCUUGUCUUUUUCAUAUAAGCUGCUGUUAAGUCAGACUUGUCUCCAUUCUAUGUUCCAUUCCAUACACAGUUGAAUUUUUUAACCAAAGGGCAUUUGUAUACUUAUCAUCUUUAAUCUUAUUAGAUUUAGUCUGUGGUUCCAAUAAGUCAAUAUCUUUUUGGAUCUUGAUUCAAAAAUUCCAAAUCAACAAAUACUUAACUUUGGGAUGUUUUUUGUAGGGAAGUAGCUGUUAUCAAAAUGAAAUUGUGUCAAAAAAUAAAUAAAAAAAUUUAAAAAACCAAAUAUUUAAGCAACCAUUAAUAAUAGGUACUUAAAUACCCUGUACUGGGUACUGGGGGUGCAAAGACCAAAAAAAAUAGUCCUUUCCCUAAAAGAGUUUACAUUCUACUGGAGAAAUACAACAUGUGCAUAAGUCAUAUAUACAGAGUACAUUCAAAGGUAAUUUCAAAAGGGAGAGGGCACUGAGGGGAAUCAGGAAAGGCCUUGUGUAAGAGAAGGUACCUAAGAUGUGCUUUGGAGGAAAUUUAGGGAUUCUAUAAGGUAAGGUGAGAAGGAAAUCCUUUCCAGGUAUCAGAAAACAACACCUGUACUAAGGAAGAUAGGAGAUGGAGUAUCAUUAAUAAGGAUCAGCUAGCAGGUAAAUGUUACUGAAAUGGAGAUUGCAUGAAAAGGGAUCAUCUGAAAUAAAACCAGAAAGGCAGGCCCAGGUCAUAGUGUGGAGUGCUUUAAAUGCCAGCUUAAGAGAUCUAAGCAACAGGGAGUCACUGAACAUUUUUGAAUAGGAGAGUGAAGUGGUUGAUGAGCGGGGUUGUUUGGGGUUUUUUUGGGGAAUAUUAAUUUUACAGCUGUCAAAAGUCAUUGAGCAUUUAUUAAGUGUUGCUUACUAUAUGUAUCAGGUAGUAUGGGGGGAACAGAUUGGAGAGAAGAGAAUGGAAGGAGCAGGGAACAAAUUAGAAGGCUAUUUAAGUAGUUCUGGGAAAGGUAAUGAGAUGUAAGAGAUGUUGUGAGGGUAGAAUAUAUCAGUUGACAACUCAUAUAUGGGAUGAGGAAAUAGUCAAGGAUGAUGUCAAGUUUUUAAACACAAGUGACUGGAGGCAUGGUGGUGCCUUCAGUGGAAAUGGGCAUCCUAGGAGGAGAAAUAUUGAUUCUGAUUUGGAUGUGUUGAAUUUGAGAUGAUAUUGUGUGACAUUUAUAUAGUACUUUAACGUUUACAAAACAACAUAUACAUAUUCAUUUGAUUUUCUCAACAACAAUGAGAAGUAGGCCUUACAAGGAAGAUUAUACCCGUUUUAUAGGCAAGAAGAUAAGUGACUUGCGUUUGGUUACACAGCUAAUAAGUGUCUGAGAAGAGAUUUGAACUCAUAUCUUCCCAAAUCUAAGUGCCACAAACUAACCAUUAUACCGUACUUACCUGUCAAAGAUGCUACAAGUCAUAAAGGCCUGUGAUGUAGGAAGAUUUCCCUCUGCCAUUCAAGAUUUAGCUGCUGCUUGGCACAAUAAAAUCGCCACCUAUGAAGAAUUACACCCCAACCGUGAAGCAGAGAGCUGACCUCGCCUGUCUUCUACCAAAGAUAAGCAAACAGACACAGAGAAGUGACUUCCCAUAGACCACAUUGGUAGUGAGCAUGCACGUAAGUCAAGAAGUAAAUCACUGGUG